CUUGCCCAAAUGGGCCCUGGGCUCUGGCCGUGCCAACCGUGGCCACCGUUUGCCACCGCCCCCCUCCCCCACCUCCGGCCGCGGCGACGCGAGGCCGCCUCCCCUUCCGCCGCGGGGCGCAACCAUCGGAAGCGUUGAGCCGGCGGCGAGGCGCCGCGGUGGCGCGACGGCUGAGGGUCGGCACGAGGGAAAGAAAGGCGGGCGUCGUCGUCGACGCAUGAAAGGAACCGGUGCUGAAGAUUCCAGCGUCUGCAAGGCACUUCUCUUCUUUUUCCGCUAGUGGUAGGUACAUGUAGAGAGCACUUGGAGCUUAUCUCUGGGAUGGAGCGCGCACAUAAUCUGAUCUGAUAAAGCAAUCAAUGAUUAACGUCGUCGUCGAACGUCGUUGAUGUGUGUGGGUGCGUGGUUUGAUUGCUCAACUCAAAGGCGGAUAAUGGCGAGAUUUGGUGUGAGGCGCGGCCCGUAGACCCGCACUAGUUCGCAGA
Long non-coding RNA from Triticum aestivum (bread wheat), 485 nucleotides. RefSeq lists it as uncharacterized. The record is from RefSeq and is a predicted model, not a curated record. NCBI's taxonomy places the organism in Eukaryota, Viridiplantae, Streptophyta, Magnoliopsida, Poales, Poaceae. The transcript is spliced from 2 exons.